UUAGUUUGAUCCUGGCUCAGAACGAACGCUGGCGGCGCGUUUUAAGCAUGCAAGUCGAACGGUAGCAGGGCUUCGGCCCUGUGAGAGUGGCGGACGGGUGAGUAACACGUGGGUGAUCUGCCCUUGAGUUGGGGAUAGCCCAUGGAAACAUGGGGUAAUACCGGAUACGUUUGGGAGACUGUGGUUUCCUGAGGAAAGGCGCUUCGGCGCCGCACGAGGAUGAGCCUGCGGCUGAUUAGCUAGUUGGUAGGGUAAGAGCCUACCAAGGCGACGAUCAGUAGCCGGCCUGAGAGGGUGAACGGCCACACUGGGACUGAGAUACGGCCCAGACUCCUACGGGAGGCAGCAGCUAAGAAUCUUCUGCAAUGGACGAAAGUCUGACAGAGCGACGCCGCGUGGGUGAAGAAGGCCGGAAGGUUGUAAAGCCCUUUUCUAUCCGAGGAAUAAUCAUCGGAGGCAAUGCCGGUGAGAUGACGGUAGGGUAGGAAUAAGCCCCGGCCAAUUACGUGCCAGCAGCCGCGGUAACACGUAUGGGGCGAGCGUUGUUCGGAAUCAUUGGGCGUAAAGGGCGCGUAGGCGGAUAUGCAUGCUUGGUGUGAAAUCCCGCAGCUCAACUGCGGAGGCGCGCUGAGAACUGCGUAUCUAGAGUUCAAGAGGGGAAGCUGGAAUUCCUGGUGUAGGGGUGAAAUCUGUAGAGAUCAGGAAGAACAUCAGUGGCGAAGGCGAGCUUCUGGCUAUGAACUGACGCUGA
This 751-nucleotide ribosomal RNA is filed under the name uncultured spirochete. RNAcentral describes it as "bacterial SSU rRNA". It matches the Rfam family "Bacterial small subunit ribosomal RNA", at positions 1 to 749 of the family's 1533-position model. Lineage: Bacteria; Pseudomonadati; Spirochaetota; Spirochaetia; Spirochaetales. The record is from RNAcentral.